Molecule: non-coding RNA, 30 nt
Filed under: Mus musculus (house mouse)
Lineage: Eukaryota; Metazoa; Chordata; Mammalia; Rodentia; Muridae
Source: RNAcentral
UACGUGCAUGAAGACAGGUGACUCAAAGAC